This 402-nucleotide long non-coding RNA is filed under the name Callithrix jacchus (white-tufted-ear marmoset). RNAcentral's name for it is "lncRNA (ENSCJAG00000082643.1)". The record is from RNAcentral. Lineage: Eukaryota; Metazoa; Chordata; Mammalia; Primates; Cebidae.
ACCUUCACUUGUAGUAAUUUUUUGAGUCCCGGUUGUAAUGUGCAUUUCUCCAAAAAGGACCUUUCUCUCAUUCUGUUAAAGGUCUUGCUGACUUCAAAUGUGGGACUACCUUAAAAUACUUCAUGCGUGAAAAUACUGAAUUUUCAUCAGAUUCUUCAGAGAGAAAAGAGAGAUGUGCUAGGGAAGAGGAGAAAGAGGCCACUAACACUUGCCACCGGGAGAGUGUUUUUACUGUAAGUAACUCAAAGUAUGUAGGCUCAGAAAUUAUUUCACUCCUGAUACCAGUGUAGAGGGAUUUAUAUUCCAGAUUCUUUAAUAGGAAAACAUAUCUGAAAAUGAGGUGUCAAGUUAAAAGAUCCCACUGGAGUACAAGAAUGUUCACUGCAUGAAUAUGUGGUAUAA